Molecule: ribosomal RNA, 425 nt
Filed under: uncultured bacterium
Lineage: Bacteria
Description: partial 16S ribosomal RNA
Rfam family: Bacterial small subunit ribosomal RNA
Source: RNAcentral
GUGGGGAAUCUUGCGCAAUGGGCGAAAGCCUGACGCAGCCAUGCCGCGUGAAUGAUGAAGGUCUUAGGAUUGUAAAAUUCUUUCACCGGGGACGAUAAUGACGGUACACGGAGAAGAAGCCCCGGCUAACUUCGUGCCAGCAGCCGCGGUAAUACGAAGGGGGCUAGCGUUGCUCGGAAUUACUGGGCGUAAAGGGCGCGUAGGCGGACAGCUUAGUCAGAGGUGAAAGCCCAGGGCUCAACCUUGGAAUUGCCUUUGAUACUGGCUGGCUUGAGUUUGGGAGAGGUGAGUGGAACUCCGAGUGUAGAGGUGAAAUUCGUAGAUAUUCGGAAGAACACCAGUGGCGAAGGCGACUCACUGGCCCAAUACUGACGCUGAGGCGCGAAAGCGUGGGGAGCAAACAGGAUUAGAAACCCGUGUAGUCC